RNAcentral lists this ribosomal RNA (253 nucleotides) under uncultured bacterium. Its description in RNAcentral is "partial 16S ribosomal RNA". It matches the Rfam family "Bacterial small subunit ribosomal RNA", at positions 524 to 776 of the family's 1533-position model. The record is from RNAcentral.
UACGGAGGGAGCUAGCGUUAUUCGGAAUUACUGGGCGUAAAGCGCACGUAGGCGGCUUUGUAAGUUAGAGGUGAAAGCCUGGAGCUCAACUCCAGAAUUGCCUUUAAGACUGCAUCGCUUGAAUCCAGGAGAGGUGAGUGGAAUUCCGAGUGUAGAGGUGAAAUUCGUAGAUAUUCGGAAGAACACCAGUGGCGAAGGCGGCUCACUGGACUGGUAUUGACGCUGAGGCACGAAAGCGUGGGGAGCAAACAGG